Molecule: long non-coding RNA, 736 nt
Organism: Panicum virgatum (switchgrass)
Lineage: Eukaryota; Viridiplantae; Streptophyta; Magnoliopsida; Poales; Poaceae
Exons: 2
Source: RefSeq, a predicted model, not a curated record
GCUCGCCACCGGUCCGCGCGUAACCUACCUUCCUUCCGGGAGACGAGUCCGCAGAUGAGAGGAGGCAUGGACGCCGCCACGUCCGUCACGCCGGGCACCAUGUCCCACAUCCUUGCGAACCCGUCACCGGCGACGCCGCCGAGAUCCUAGAGCUCGUCGUCCAGGUCGUCGACCUCAAGUCCAUCGGCACGGGCAGCCGGUUCAGGUGAGUUCUCAGCUACUCUGCUACCUCAUUCUGCUGGAUCUGUUCUCCCGCUAGUUUUUGCUCCGUAGGACGGCGGAUCUGUACUAUUCUUAGCGCGGUUCCUCUGGAUUUGGUCGGCUGGUCUGACGAGCAUCCGCUUGGAUUUGUUGGAUCUGGCGUUCGCUCCGGCAACCUGCAGAACCUCGGCCUGAUCCGCAUCCUCGACUACACCUGCAACGCCCUCCCUCCCAAAAACGACAAGCCUUGAUUAUCAGCAAAUGCGAGGUUGCAUCCCAAGCGCUCGACGCCGAGAUCAUUAGCGAAGCCAAGAAACAAGAGGAGCCUGCGAUUGUCCUCAAGCCCAAGGACGAAGGCGUGGUUCUGUCCAAGCCCGCAAAUGCUCCCCUGCCUUGGGUGUUUUCUUUUCUUCUUUUUUGAAAUUUUUCUGAAAUAGAGAUGCAUGUGGGAUUGUAUUGAGUGUGUCAAUCUUGUAAUUGAUUCUUUGAAUGAUUUGUGAGAUUUAUGGAAUUUGUAUCGAUUGAUUUAAUAUUU